GAGAAGAAUUAAGCUUUACCUCUUGAAGAAAAGAGGGUCAAAUAAUUUGUGGACAUAUUAAAUCACAUUGAUGUUCAAUAUCUACUUCUACUUUUUAAAAAUACCCUUCAAAAAUAAAAAUAGAUCUUCCUACUACCAAAUCCACAAAUAUAUUCUUGCAUCCACUUUCUACUCCUUAAUCUUGAAAUAAAGACUUUAUUUUUCCGUCUUUCAAACUUAAUCCUGUCACCUGUACUUUGGAGUCUAUCUAUUACCUUCUAAAGGACCUUGCUUUGCUGUUAUCCUGUCUCCUAAGUCAUUCCCUUACAAACAUACUCUAGUAUCUCAUCAUCAAAACAAAACACUGCUCUGACGCAUUUCUCCACUCACUUCAUAGCCAGAAUUCUUGAAAGAAUCAUCUGUACGUUCUUUCCAAUUUGUCAUCCCCCAUUUACUCUUCAACACAGUAUCAUUUGGCUUCUACGCUAAAUUGAUUUUUCGAAGGCCACCAACAGCUUUCUUAUUGCCAAAUCCAAUGGAUACUUUUCUGUCCUUACCUUGUGCAACUUCCAAGCAGCAUUCAACACAAUUAACCACUCCAUUCUUGAAACACUUGGAUUCUGAGACAUUGCUCUCCCCCCACACCUCACUUCCUGUCCUCCUCAGUCUCUUUGCUGGCUUCUCUGCCUGACCUGCAGGAUGCAGUUCCUCAAGCCCAGGUGCUGAGCCCCUUCUCCUUACUUUGUCCUCUUGCUGGAAUCUCAUUAGUUCUCGUGGAUUCUUUUUUUAUGUUGAUGUGUUCCCAGUUUAUACCUUCAGUUCUAACACAAUAAAUUUCACAUUCUCAUCUCGUCAGUGUAAUGGAUAUUUCUACUUGACUUUUCACAUCUCAAAUUUAACUUAUCCAAAAUGGAAGAACUCCCUCUGUUUCCCCUUUAAACUGUUGUCUCUGUAACUAUCCAUCAAGUUCUUCAAACCAGAACUCUAGGAGUCAUUCUUCAUUCUUCCCUUUCCUCUCCCUCCCAUUUCAUCAGUCCAUCUAUUCUUCCAUAGUAUGUCAUGAUUCUUCCACUUCUCUGUCUGGUACCACCACCUUUUCCCAGACUGUGAUCUACUCUCAAAUUAUGGCAAUAGCCUCCUAACUGGUCUCCCCACUUCCACUCUUGCAUUUUUGCAGACUGGAUGGGAGGAGGUGAGUAAAAUGGAUCUUAUCCUACUUCCGAUCAAUAAGAAAAAGACUAACACUCCAAAAGAAAAAUGGACAAAGGCCACAAAGAGUUCACAGAAAAGGAAAUACAAAUGCUUUUAACUUGUGCAAGAUGUUCAAUCUCACUCAUAAUAAAGAAAUAUAAAUUAAAAUUACAGUGAGAUACCAGUUUUCAUCUAUCAGAUUGGCACUUUUGUCCAUUGUUGGUAGGAAUGUAAAUUAUCACAAACAUUUUUGAAGGGCUAUUGGGUAAAAUCCAUCAAAUAAAAAAAAGGACAUAUCUAUUGACCCAGCAUAAAGUCUAGAAAUUUAUUCUGCUUGCACGUGUGUGCAAAGAAGUAUGUAUGAGGACGUUUUAAUAUUGUUUGUUAAAAGAUUGGAAACAACUAAAUAUCCAUCAUUAAGAAGCUGAUUAAAUACAUUACAGUAACAGUCGAACGAGUACAUUGGAUACUCUCUCUGUCUUGAAUGCGUUCCUCUCCUCUUUUCAUACAACUCUUCCUAUUUCUUCAGAUCUCGCUAAAAUAUCACCUCCUCUUCGCGGCCUUCCCUUUACUCUUUCUAAAGUAGGUCUCCUUUUUCUUCUCUCCUUCACUUGCCAUAACUUGCAGUUAUUUUGUUAGUUCACUUGUAUUUUUGGCUCCCUCUCCCUGUGGAAUGGAAGCUCUGAAGGGGCAGUCUGAAUGUAUUUUUUCACUACUGUAUCCCCAGUAUCUAGUGUAGUUUUUGGCACUUAGUAUGUAUUGAUUGAAUGAAUGACUAAAAAAAUGAUUGACGGUUGAAUCUCAAAUAAAAGUCCACAUGUCAUCCUCAUUGGAGAAACAUUAAAUGCAUUCCUAUUAAAUUCAUGAGCAAGAUAAGAACGUCAGGUGUAACGACGUGAUUUAAAUAUAUGUUUGGUCCUCAUCCCCCUUCCUCGCCCAGAGCUGCCAAAACUCUUGGAAUUUCCUAAGCAUUCAGAGCACUGGGAGCAUCUUUUGUUAUAAUAUUUCGUCUUUUGUCCUCAGUUCCUGAAAGAGCUCCAGACCCAUAAAGGUAAAAGGAGUGUCUUGUUAUGUAUAACAAGGGCCUUUCAACCACACCUGAGUUAUGUUAAUGAGGUGACUUUUGGAAAGCCCUUAAGGAUGGGGGCUGGUUGCCAGGGAAACCAACCAUGUGAUUAGAAGGUUGGAACUUUCAGCCCCACCUCCCAGACCCCUGAGGAAGCAAAGCCACUGGAGGUUGAAUUCAGUCACCAGUGGCUGGUGAUUUAAUCAAUGGUGCUUAUGUAAUGAAGCCUCCAUAAAAACACAGGACUAGGUUCAGAGAGCUUCUAGGUUGGUGAAGGUGUGGAGGUGCUGGAAGAGCGGCGCGCCCAGAGAGGGCAUGGAAGCCCCACGCCCCUUCCCACAUACCUUGCUCUGUGCAUCUGGUUGUUCCUGAGUUGCAUCCUUUUAUAAAAAAAUGGUAAUCUAGUAAGGCCAGAUUAUGAGACCACCAACCCAUCAACUGUGCCCACGCAGACAAGUAUCCGAUAAGCGACCUUUUCACUGCAAGAGGUUGGAACUCCACCCUCAGGGCAUGCUAAAGCCGCCAUUCUGUGAACGUGCUUCCUAUGAAGAGGCAUGAAGCCUGACUACGGUUGCACAGAUCAUCAAUUACCUCAUCUCUCCUCACCUCCAAUCAUUUCAGACCACCUUGCCCCCACCCCAUAAAUAUCCCUGAGGCCCUAUUUUCCAGGAAGCAGAUUUGAGAUUCAUUCUCCUGUAUCCAUACUUGGCUGCCUUGUGAUUAAACCCUUUCUCUCUGCAAUCUCAUCA
This is a long non-coding RNA of Diceros bicornis minor, 2985 nucleotides long. RefSeq lists it as uncharacterized. NCBI's taxonomy places the organism in Eukaryota, Metazoa, Chordata, Mammalia, Perissodactyla, Rhinocerotidae. The transcript is spliced from 2 exons. The record is from RefSeq and is a predicted model, not a curated record.